Molecule: transfer RNA, 76 nt
Filed under: bacterium
Lineage: Bacteria
Also listed under: 3 other names
Description: tRNA-Ala
Rfam family: tRNA
About the family: Transfer RNA (tRNA) molecules are approximately 80 nucleotides in length. Their secondary structure includes four short double-helical elements and three loops (D, anti-codon, and T loops).
Source: RNAcentral
GGGCCCUUAGCUCAGCUGGAAGAGCGCCUCAAUGGCAUUGAGGAGGUCAGCGGUUCGAUCCCGCUAGGGUCCACCA